This is a long non-coding RNA of Globicephala melas (long-finned pilot whale), 230 nucleotides long. RefSeq lists it as uncharacterized. NCBI's taxonomy places the organism in Eukaryota, Metazoa, Chordata, Mammalia, Artiodactyla, Delphinidae. The record is from RefSeq and is a predicted model, not a curated record.
AAGUGAAAGAAAUUCAGCUCUUCCAGGAUCUGAGUUUAGAAGGGAAGGACAGAAGCCGUGGGAAUCAGGGGAGCUGACCGGAAGGGAUUACAGUGAGAGGAAGGAAUCUGGGAGAGAUUAACACAGAAAGGCCAUGUGAGGAUGCAGCAAGAAGGCGGUUGCCUGCAAGCCUGGAAGAAAGCUCUCACCAGGAACUGAAUAAGCCAGCACUUUAACCCUGACUUCCAGCC